GGGGAGGCCAACAUGCAAGUCGAGCGAGAAGCUGAUGACAGAUACUUCNGGUUGAAGGAGUCAGUGGAAAGCGGCGGACCGGUGAGUAACGCGUAGGCAACCUGCCCUUUGCACAGGGAUAGCCAUUGGAAACGAUGAUUAAAACCUGAUAACACCAUUUGGUUACAUGAGCAGAUGGUCAAAGAUUUAUCGGCAGAGGAUGGGCCUGCGUCUGAUUAGCUAGUUGGUAAGGUAACGGCUUACCAAGGCGACGAUCAGUAGCCGACCUGAGAGGGUGAACGGCCACAUUGGAACUGAGACACGGUCCAAACUCCUACGGGAGGCAGCAGUGGGGAAUAUUGCACAAUGGGCGAAAGCCUGAUGCAGCAACGCCGCGUGAAGGAAGAAGGCCUUCGGGUCGUAAACUUCUGUCCUUGGGGAAGAAGAACUGACGGUACCCAAGGAGGAAGCCCCGGCUAACUACGUGCCAGCAGCCGCGGUAAUACGUAGGGGGCAAGCGUUAUCCGGAAUUAUUGGGCGUAAAGAGUACGUAGGUGGCAACCUAAGCGCAGGGUUUAAGGCAAUGGCUCAACCAUUGUUCGCCCUGCGAACUGGGAUGCUUGAGUGCAGGAGAGGAAAGCGGAAUUCCUAGUGUAGCGGUGAAAUGCGUAGAUAUUAGGAGGAACACCAGUGGCGAAGGCGGCUUUCUGGACUGUAACUGACACUGAGGUACGAAAGCGUGGGGAGCAAACAGGAUUAGAUACCCUGGUAGUCCACGCCGUAAACGAUGAGCACUANGUGUCGGGGUCGCAAGACUUCGG
RNAcentral lists this ribosomal RNA (800 nucleotides) under uncultured bacterium. RNAcentral describes it as "bacterial SSU rRNA". It matches the Rfam family "Bacterial small subunit ribosomal RNA", at positions 41 to 843 of the family's 1533-position model. The record is from RNAcentral.